Molecule: long non-coding RNA, 913 nt
Organism: Canis lupus familiaris (dog)
Lineage: Eukaryota; Metazoa; Chordata; Mammalia; Carnivora; Canidae
Exons: 3
Source: RefSeq, a predicted model, not a curated record
GCCAAGUGCUAAUACCAUUUCAGUUGACCUCAUGGGUAGUUUUAGAGGACUCAGGAUUUGCCCUAGUCAUGUCAAGUUGGCUCAUUGGUUUAUGCUCUAUAUUUGCUAACUUGAACUAAAGUCCAUGAGUGUGAUUAAACUGGACACAUUUUUCUGGGGGCAGUUUUGUAUUUCUAGAGCUCACAAAAAAUAAAAAGUUUUCUUUUUACCUAAUGUAGCCUGGAACUACACUAACCCUUAUUUUAAUUCUGAGUCAACUCACAAAUAUUCAUUGGAUACUUAUUCCUACAGGAAACCUACCUUUCAAGGAUGAAGCAAAAGCAAAGAAACACAGAACACUGCAGAAAAAAAGAACAACAAAAGAAAGAAAGAAAGAAGAAAAGAAAAAAGAAAAGAAAAAAGAAAAUGAAGCAUGGGCAUAGUACUAUUUUAAGAAGUCCUCAACAAAGGAUCAUUGAGGAGUACUGAUGAUGCUCAACACUAUGCCGAGAUGUUAAGUGAGGAGGAAGGAUGUAUUUUCAAGGAAUAUGAAACACACAUGGAAUAUCAUACUAGGAAACGACAAAGCAUAGUUGGAUAGAUUGGGUCUAAAGCCUUGGAAUGGACGAGGCCCAACUUCAAAGGAUUGACUUCUGGGCUAUGGCUGAGAAGUAGAGGAAGACACAAGAAUUGCUGCAGAUAAUACUUGAAGUAAAUAACUCACAUCAAGCUAAAAAUGGAACAUGUGGUAAGACCUUACAUAACCUGAAAUGACACAUGGCAACUGAAGACCACUUCUCCCAUGAGUUCUUGGAGCCGAAGUUAAGUUGGCAUCUAAUGAAAAGUGUAAACCUGGGAGCAUUUACCCUGCUAUCUGUACUGCACCUUCAUUUAAGUUGGAACUCUCAGCUUUAAUAGCAUAAGAAAAAUACAA